RNAcentral lists this long non-coding RNA (585 nucleotides) under Theobroma cacao (cacao). RNAcentral's name for it is "long non-coding RNA (TCAC_LNC000677)". Lineage: Eukaryota; Viridiplantae; Streptophyta; Magnoliopsida; Malvales; Malvaceae. The record is from RNAcentral.
CAAAAUUCAUUUGAGUCAAAUUAAUAUUAAGAUUAAGGGCUUGUUUAAGACCUGUGCUAUGAAAUCAUUUUGGAUUCUGCUGAAUUGUAUAAACCAAACCUUUUCCCCAGGAUUUAAGUACAAAAUCUGAUCCAUCUUUUCCAGAUCUUUCAAAAUAUAAAGAUGUGGAAACAUGGGACUGAGACAAUGUUUUCCCCCCACAAACUACCAAAUGGGAAAGGAAGAGGAGUGGGGGACUGGGAGGGGUUGUUGUUUCGUAGUUGGCAGAAGGAGGAUGGGAAGCGCAUGGUGGGCACAGUUCUUGGUUUGUACAGCCUUCUUCCAUCUGAACCUUGAUAAGUCUGAUGAGAGAUUCUUACGUUUGGCUGUGAAUGAUAAGAGAAGAGGAGACACGAGAAGAGAAGCCCAUUUCUCUGUUGAUAAGAGCUGAGCAGCGGCUAUUCAAGGUACAUGCGGAUAGUACCUUCCCGGCCUCGUUUGCUUUGAUCUUAGAAUUUCUUCAUAGAUAAGAAGACCAACCCCAUGACUUCCCUGCCGCCCCGUACAGCUCAUCAAAUCCCUCUCAAGAUAAACAACACUCAAGGC